RNAcentral lists this long non-coding RNA (2840 nucleotides) under Amborella trichopoda. Its description in RNAcentral is "long non-coding RNA (ATRI_LNC005134)". The record is from RNAcentral. Lineage: Eukaryota; Viridiplantae; Streptophyta; Magnoliopsida; Amborellales; Amborellaceae.
UCUGAGUAGUUUUACGUCAUGCAGUGAUGAACGUUCUUGUACUUGCCUCGACUCUUUUGUAUCACAUGGGUUUGAUGUUGAUUGAGAUUAGGUACUCGGUCUUUUUACCGUCAUACAGGUUAGACGUCUUCUUGUCACGGCUCUUUUGCGUCAUACAAGUUUGAUAUUUGAUCGAAAUUGGCCGACUAUUUUUGUGUCUCACGGGAUAGAUGUUUUCAAUUGGAUUUGGUGAGCCAUUUCUGCUCACAUCACCUUGGAGUUCUUUGACUUCGAAGAUGAUUGAUGAAAAAGGUGUUUGAGGAACUUUGAUGUUUCGGCCACAUUGGAGGACUUGCUCUGAUUGUUCUAGGCUUCUUUCAAAACUGACUUCACUCUCUUUCGAGUGUCGGAUCUUUUAACCUUUUUUUUUUUUUCCAGUGGGUACGAGACCCAAUCGAAUUUUUUGUUUCUAUCCCAAUCAAAUUUUUUUUUCUUCAAGCCUUUUCUUGGGAUCUUCAAGAUGAAGAAUCAUCGAGUACUUUUCACCUUUCAAUCUUGGCUAUUUGCGACAUAACUCAAGGGAGAGUUUUUCUUUAUGUAUUUGAGCAAGUCACCGUCUUGGAUAAUAUCAGAUAUUGACAUAACUCAAGGGAGAGUUUUUCUUUAUGUAUUUGAGCAAGUCGCCGUCUUGGAUAAUAUCAAAUAUUGCCCCUGAGUGUUCAGAAUCCCCUUGGACUUCUAAUUUUGUUCCUCCACUUACCUAGCCCUUUGAAAUUUAGAUAAUCAACGUUAUUUAGAUUUACUUGGACCGAUGUCUUCAAUUUAUUUUUCUUUCUAACACCAUUCGAACUUGAGAAGCGGGGAAUUUCUAGAGAUGUUGGAGAAGAGACGAAAAGAUGGAGAAGUCCUAUUUUUCGUCACCCUGGGUCCCUUUAGGUGUUCAGCCCGAUGACUUUUUUUCCAACGCUCGGGUUUCGUUUCUGAUUUUGGAUCGACGCCUGAUGGAUUUUUCCAAUGCUUGGGAUUCCUUCUUUUUUUUAUCCCGAUGGAAUUUCUUUCUUUUUCUUGAAGAAUGUGACGAAAGAGGAGGAGGAGAAGAGUCAGUGUUUUUUUUUUUUCCCUUAUUGACACUUUGUCUUAGGAAACAUAUAAGAACUCUAUCCAGGCGGCAGGGAGGUCCUAGUCUUGAUUAUCCUUAGAUUUUCCUUGUCCUUGAUUGGUAUUCGAUACUUCAUUGACAGCGGUUGCUGAAUUCUUCUAGAGUCUUUCCUCUUUGAAUUACUUCACUCGGGCCUUGAUUUUCAGAUUUGGACUCACGCUCAGCUUCUUAGUCAUACAAUCUGCUACUUGACUGAUUAAUCUCAUUUUCUUUCUUCUUUUUUUUUGACCCCUUAAGCUAUCAAUGUCAUGGAUAAGCAAAGCAUGAAUGCCCCACUUGGCUUAUUUGAGAGGGAUGAGUAAGUGAUCACCCCAUGCCUUUUCGGUAGUCUUUUUUAGUCGCAACUUCAUAUUGCUCUUGCGGAAUAUAUCGCCUCGAGGCAUAUUGGGAGUCAUUAGAAAAUGUGUUGGAUUCACAAGUUUUCCUUACUAUAUUAUCAUCAUCAAGUGAGAGUGCCCCUUUCAAAUAGUUUGGUGGAGCUACCCCUGUAGGGCUUUCUUCAUUAGACGAAACUAUUCUUCUUAGCAUGUUGGAUGGGACAAUCUCUACAACAUUUUUUUCAGAUGGAGGGAUCCUUAUCAAGCUGGUGGAUAGGACUGCCCCUGUUAGAUCUUCUUCUUGGGGUUCUUUGUCCCAGAUGAGAGAAUUAUCCAGAAAAUCUUGUUAGAGUGGUUUGAGUGAUCCUCUUAGAAUUUCUAGAGGUUCGGCUUCUUCUAAUUCUCGCAAAGGUGUUGAAUCUUCAGAAAUGGUCAGAUCAGGUCUUUCACUUCUUUAGUAUUAAUUGUUGGAUCGACUUCUUCUAAUUCUCUCAAAAGUGUUGAAUCUUCAAGAAUGGAUAUGGGUCCUUUACUUCUUCAGUAUUAACUGUUGGAUCCACCUUAAAGGAUGGCGUGAUUGCAUGCUCUAGGCUGAGCUUUUCAUCCUAAAUAGGUGGAUUCGUCAAGAAGUUAGGGGAAAGAGGCCCAAGCAGGACCCUUAGGAUUUCAAGGGGUUUCAUUUCUUUCAUAAUUUUUGAGAGGAUAGACCUUCUUUCAAGUUCAUCUUAGGGGAUAGUUCAAUUGAAUCCUCUGAGCUUGACUCAUUUAUUUCUUCAUGGAUUAUACUUUUGAGAUUAAGGUGUUCUUCACUAAUGUAGUCAUGGGGAUCCUUAUCUUCGGGAUAUUGGUUGAGCUCAUGGAUGACUUGAGCCUCCCCCGCUGUACUUAUUUGAAAGAUGAGAGUAAUUGUGUCAUUUUCUUUCGUAGUGACAUGUAUCAAAGGAGGUUGAUGCGCCGCUAAUUGGGCAACAUCUCCCUUAGACCUAGACUUAACAGAUGAAGGUGGGUUUAACCUUGGUUCUUUAGUCCCAGGGGUCGAAUGUCUUGUUGAGUAGCUCGAGCCAUACGGACUUGCUAGACUACACGACUUGGUUGGAUUGUAGAUGGGCUAGCUAUGCUUAACCCUAGGUGUGGGAUUAUGGACCCAUUGGCACUCGAUCUUGAGUGACCUGAGAUAGGGUAGACCCAAGGAAUUGAGCCAUAAGGUCAUUCUAGGAGGUCUAGAUGUCUCAGUAGACUUAGUACUUGAGUCACCACGAACUACAUACAUGAUUAGAAGAUGAUGCAAUGAAAAUCAUUUUUUUCUUAAAAAAAAUUUAGCCUAUUUUUUGUUUUUUUUUGGUAUUAAAAUUUUAAGAAAGAAGAUAAAUAUGUUUUCUAAAAAU